Schizophyllum commune H4-8 is the source of this 86-nucleotide non-coding RNA. Lineage: Eukaryota; Fungi; Basidiomycota; Agaricomycetes; Agaricales; Schizophyllaceae. The record is from Rfam.
CCUUCCUUAGCUCAGUUGGAAGAGCGUCAGACUGUAAUGGAUACCUUCACAUCUGAAUGUCGCCUGUUCGAACCAGGCAGGGAGGA